Molecule: ribosomal RNA, 403 nt
Filed under: uncultured bacterium
Lineage: Bacteria
Description: partial 16S ribosomal RNA
Rfam family: Bacterial small subunit ribosomal RNA
Source: RNAcentral
GACGAACGCUGGCGGCGUGCCUAAUACAUGCAAGUCGAACGCAGUGGGGACGGGUGAGUAACACGUGGGUAACCGCGCAGCAGAGGGGAUAACACUUGGAAACAGGUGCUAAACCGAUACUGAUGGAUGGAGCCGCUGUGCAGUAGGUAGUUGGUGAGGUAACGGCUCACCAAGGCCACGAUGAAUAGCCGACCGGGGAGGAUGAUCGGCCACACUGGGACUGAGACACGGCCCAGACUCCUACGGGAGGCAGCAGUAGGGAAUCUUGGGCAAUGGGCGAAAGCCUGACCGAGCAAUGCCGCGUGAGUGAAGAAGGUUUUCGGAUCGUAAAGCACUGUUGUUAGAGAAGCGGUAUCUAACCAGGAAGCCCCGGCUAACUACGUGCCAGCCGCCGCGGUAAUAC